UGGGGAAUAUUGCGCAAUGGGGGGAACCCUGACCCAGCAACGCCGCGUGAAGGAAGAAGGUUUUCGGAUUGUAAACUUCUGUCCUUGGUGAAGAGGAAGAGACGGUAGCCAAGGAGGAAGCCCCGGCUAACUACGUGCCAGCAGCCGCGGUAAUACGUAGGGCGCGAGCGUUGUCCGGAUUUAUUGGGCGUAAAGAGCUCGUAGGCGGUUUGUCGCGUCUGCUGUGAAAUCCUCUGGCUUAACUGGGGGCGGGCAGUGGGUACGGGCAGACUGGAGUGCGGUAGGGGAGACUGGAAUUCCUGGUGUAGCGGUGGAAUGCGCAGAUAUCAGGAGGAACACCGGUGGCGAAGGCGGGUCUCUGGGCCGUUACUGACGCUGAGGAGCGAAAGCAUGGGGAGCGAACAGG
Molecule: ribosomal RNA, 406 nt
Filed under: uncultured prokaryote
Description: bacterial SSU rRNA
Rfam family: Bacterial small subunit ribosomal RNA
Source: RNAcentral